CCUACGGGGUGCAGCAGUGAGGAAUAUUGGUCAAUGGGCGAGAGCCUGAACCAGCCAAGUAGCGUGAAGGAUGACUGCCCUACGGGUUGUAAACUUCUUUUGUCAGGGAGCAAUUGGGUCCACGCGUGGGCUUAGCGAGAGUACCUGAAGAAAAAGCAUCGGCUAACUCCGUGCCAGCAGCCGCGGUAAUACGGAGGAUGCGAGCGUUAUCCGGAUUUAUUGGGUUUAAAGGGUGCGUAGGCGGAAUAUCAAGUCAGCGGUAAAAAUUCGGGGCUCAACCUCGUAGUGCCGUUGAAACUGAUGGUCUUGAGUGGGCGAGAAGUAUGCGGAAUGCGUGGUGUAGCGGUGAAAUGCAUAGAUAUCACGCAGAACUCCGAUUGCGAAGGCAGCAUACCAGCGCCCAACUGACGCUGAAGCACGAAAGCGUGGGUAUCGAACAGGAUUAGAUACCCUAGUAGUC
Molecule: ribosomal RNA, 460 nt
Filed under: uncultured bacterium
Lineage: Bacteria
Description: partial 16S ribosomal RNA
Rfam family: Bacterial small subunit ribosomal RNA
Source: RNAcentral